UUAAGCCCUCCAUUAACGCCUGUGAAAUGACAGGAGAUGGAAGCAGGACGGACAACAAUGCAAGGCCUGAGAGGGGCUGCAAGAGUAAACUUGAGUGUACGUGGAUAUCAUCAGCCACAAUGAGUAUUCUCAAGGUGUUCAUUGUUGCCCUUGUGUUGUUUGGAACCAGCUGUCUUUCUGCAAAGAUAAAGAGACAACUGCCAGCCGAUACAGAUGCUCAACCAGAUGAUGAUGUUCGGUCACUUCCAUUAACAGCGAGGUCACCACCUGGUCCAUCUCCAGGACCACCUGGGUUUCCAUUCUUUAAGCAAGGG
Molecule: long non-coding RNA, 314 nt
Organism: Hippocampus zosterae (dwarf seahorse)
Lineage: Eukaryota; Metazoa; Chordata; Actinopteri; Syngnathiformes; Syngnathidae
Exons: 3
Source: RefSeq, a predicted model, not a curated record